Molecule: non-coding RNA, 335 nt
Organism: Parasteatoda tepidariorum (common house spider)
Lineage: Eukaryota; Metazoa; Arthropoda; Arachnida; Araneae; Theridiidae
Source: RefSeq, a predicted model, not a curated record
ACUUACUCUCGUAACCAUAGUAACCGCAAGGACGUUUUCUGGCUAGACAUGUCUGAAAAAGCUUUCCUGGAUGCGGCGCAUAACUACGAUUUUAUUCUUCAAAUGUAAAUAAGAAAACCUCGUCAUGCAACAAGAACUAUUUUAACUUUCUUCCUGACAAUUAAGUUUGUGUUAACCAUCAACGAGUGUCGAUUUCCUUAUUUUGAAAAUCUUUCAAGAUUUCGAGAAAAAUCCAUCAUUACAGUCUCAAAGAAGGAGAGAAGUGAUUUCUAACACAGCAAUUUUAUUCAAUUUAUGUAAAUUUUUUCAUGAAAAUAGAACUAGGUCCUAUUGUU